Molecule: long non-coding RNA, 4913 nt
Filed under: Canis lupus familiaris (dog)
Lineage: Eukaryota; Metazoa; Chordata; Mammalia; Carnivora; Canidae
Description: lncRNA (ENSCAFG00000059000.1)
Source: RNAcentral
UUUUUUUUUUUUUUUUUUUUUUCUAUCUCUGUGCUUCUUUGUCUCUCUUUAUUUCUGGUCCCCAUGCUCACACCCAGGGCAAGAAUUCUAACCAAGGAUUUACAGUUUCCUGGACCCCUGAGCUUUGGCAGAUAGGUGAACCUUUGGAGCUUUCAUGAUAGGUUGUUCAUGCCUUUUUCUGGAAUUGAAGGCUGAAGCGUUCAUUACAUUCUCAAGGAGGUCUGCAAUUAGAAAUUACUGCUCUAGAUUAAUUUCCCAGCCUAUUAAUAUGACUAUCCUGUGUCUGAAUUAAACCUCAGAUGGGUCACUUUCAACUGAAUCCCGAGCUCUCCCAGCGCCUGAGGAGUCUUCAUGGCUUUCUGUCUCACUGCCUGGAAGGACAAGCUGGUCCAAGGAGUGAAACAUAGAUCCAACAAAAUCAAUUAGUCCACAUCAAAAAAAAAAAAAUGAUGAUUCAAUCCUUAGAGGAACUCUCACAUUUAAAAUUGAUGAAAAUAGUCUUUAGGGGCAUCCAUGAAAUUAAGAUACGGUGCCUGUUACUCAGUGGUGGAUGUUUAGUAUUUUAAGAAUAAAUCCAAUAGUAAUAUAAACAGUCUAUUCUCACAAUGCUCACAUUUAAACUGUGCCAGACACAUGUCCUGUGCCUGCAUGGUACUUCUACACCAUUAGCUGCCACAAAUCAAAGGGAAUGUCAUUGCUUUUAAUAGGAUUACAUAGAACUCAGUAACAAGCAGGAAGACUAGCUUUAGACUGAGUAACUGGCCAGUAAUUUGGAUGUUUAACUAAAUGAUUGGCUGCCAAAUUGACAGGUCAUCCACACUGAACUAGCCACUAUUCCAUGAAUUUUCAUGACCAGGAUCACAAUGGUUCAUUUGCAUGUGUGAAAUUCUGCUGUGAAGCUGGCUUUUGAACUGGCUAGCUCAGCCAAAGAUGGGUUUCACAGUGCCACGCAUUGGUGCCCUAGAAAUACCAUCACAUCACAUGAGGGUAGCAUAGAUCUUUCCAAAGCCUUCUAUUUACACACAAUCUGUAGCUAACCAGGCCAAUCAACAAAAAUGGUAAUGACUGGAAUGUAAAGAAUUCAGGAGAAAACUAGAACAUUAGAAAAUUAAUAUUAGCACCAAAAAUAAGCAUUUGGAUGAGGAGACAGAGGUUUAAAGUCUUUAGAUUAGACCUCAAGAAAAGUUUUGGAUUUGCAUGGACCUAUUGCUAAGGGUAACUUCUGACCCAGUGGGCAUUCGGGGAACAUUGAGGCAUCAUCGACAGGAUUAUUAGCAAAUGGCUGUUAUGUAUAAUGCGAUGGGACAGACAUGAGGACAACAAACACAGGCCCCAUGAAUCAAAGCCUUUCCCUAAGGGAUUUAAGAUCUAGCCACAGGUGCAAAGACAUGAAGCAAAACAAAAAUCAAAAUAACCCUCAUGUGCCAAUUAUCCUGUAAUAAGACUAAAAUGGCAGUGAUGUAAUGAAUAUUUCAAAGGUGAGGAAAUGUAAGCUUUAGAGAGGUUUUGUCAUUGCUCAAAGAGGUCAAUAUUAAAAAGAUAAGUCUAAAGCAUAUUUAAUUCAACAUGUAAUAGAAAAACAGUGCAAAUAUGUAGUACUAUAAAAUUGAAUAACUAAGCAAGGGAAUGUUUAUAUGAUGAGAUAUUAUGAAGACUUUUAGAAUCUGUUGUACAUGAAAGAAUACUAUUGACAAGAGAAAUUUUGCUAAGAGAAAAAUAGGUUAUGAAAUCACAGGUAUAGUUGUUAUAUAUACUGUAAUAGGGAUACACACACAAUAGAAUAUCAACAGUGAUUCUCCUUGUUGUGAGAUUAUCAGUAAUUAAUUUUCUUGCAUUUUUCUUGCCUGGCAUAUCCCCAAGUUUUUGCUUUGAGCAUUUGUUACUUUCAUAAUUAGAAAAGGCUUAAAUACAAUUUAUAUAUAUAUAUAUAUAUAUAUAUAUAUAUAUAUAUAAAUCAAAAACUACAUAUGGUCAUUGACACAUAAUAAGAUCUGAGGAAUUUCAAAUGAUAUCAUGUUAAACAAGGGCCUGAAGAAAUCAAGACAGACGCCAGCCAAGAUCAAGAUGGCCAUGGCUCCUGACAUAAAGGUAGAUCAAGAAGAAAGGCAUCAAGGCAAGGAUGUAAUAUGAGCAAAAUCCCAUCUUUCCCAUGGCAAGAUGCAUUGGGGAAAUAAGAUAAUAAGAUAAAUAAUAAAAAAAUACUGUUUGGCUACAGUAGAGAAUUCCAAUGAAGGAGGGGUCACCGGGAUAACUGACCUUACAUCUUUUGUGGAUCAUCUUUUUAAAAGUGGAAUUAAAUAAAACUUAGAUGCCCUUACGUGAUCACAUUUCUAGGACACAAAAGCAUAGAGCACCAGACGUGUCCUUUGGCUUAGACACCUGGCCCACUAGCCAACUUCACAGUGGAAUUUCACACAUGAGAAAAUAGGUAAGGGCCAAAUUUUGGAAGCCCUGAUAUGCCAAGCAAGCAAGUUGGACUUUAUCCUGUGGGCAGUGGGGAAUCUCUGAAGUUUUAAGGAGGGAGGUAAUGAGAGCAAAAACGUUUUAGUAAAAUUCAUGUGACAGCACUGGGGAGUGAAUUGGAAGGGAAACAAUUACAUGUGUCUUUUCAUAUGGUUCUUUACAUUUUUUUUUUCUGUGAAUAUCCUAUCUUCCUCAAUUAGGAUUAUAAACUCCUUGAAAAAAAAAAACUAUGUCUUAUUUUUCUUUGUAGAUCUGACACUUCUGAGCAAUAGAGGAAGCAUUAAGCACUUGUUAAAGGCAGCAGCUUUGGAUUCAGAGAGUCUUCUGUGGGACUCAGCUCCUUAAGGAAGUAAUCUGACCUCCCUCAGCCUCAGUGUGCUCACCUGCAAAAUGGGAUCAAUAAUACCCACUUCAUUGGUCUGUGGUGCGGAUUAAGUGAGAUUAUGAAAUUGAGUGUGCAAAGCCCUUGCAGUGGAAGUGUGCACUAAUUGGCCAUUGUCAUACCAAAAAAAGUCAUCAUACCAAAAAAGCUAGUAAGACAAGUUUGUCGGUGAAGAUAAUGAUGUUGAUUGAGACUCUAAGUUAGACACUAAGUGGAAGAGUGUGAGUCAAAUCUUAACUUAGAAGCCAAUCAUUCUAUGGGCAAGGCUGGGGACUGGAAAGAUUCACAGGGCAAAGACGGAGCCCCCUCAACAUAAAACAUACAGAACCCAGCAAGAUUGAUGAUUUUAGCCAAAAUGAGUCUUGAGCACAUUAAAAAGAGAUAGCUGGUUGGCACGGGCGGCUUGCUACAAUAAUAAGUGGUACCUGUGAGAGGAAUGGCCACAUCCCCAUCCACAAGAAUAAACAAUGAUGCCUGGCAGCACCUCAUCCAAAGAAACCUUCCCAUUGAGUUUCUGCUAACUGAUACUAUUACAAUGUGACUUGACUUCACUGUGUCCUUUACAUGUAGUUAGAAAUGCACAGGAUAACUCUGGAGAAGCCCGUUGUUCCAAAAGACAGGAAGGCCACCAAAGUAGAAGUAAUCUUCUCAAAAAGACACAGGAGCCAACCUGAAGAGACUCCUUUUGGCCUAAGUUGGGAUAACUUAAGAACCAAAAUGUACAAUAAUUGCAAUGGAUUGGAAGGUCUCAAAUAUAGUUUUUAAAGAUAUUUAUUUAUUCAUUCAUUCAUUCAUUCAUUCAUUCAGUUUAGAAAGAGAGUGCACGUGUGAGCAGGAGGAGGAGCAGAGGGAAAGUGAGAAGGACAAGCAGACUCCAAUGCUGGGCUGGAUCCCAUGACCCUGAGAUCAUGACCUGAGUCCAAACCAUGAGUCAGUUGCUCAACCGACUGAGACACCCAGGCACCCUGCAAGUAUAGUUUUUAAAAUCUAAGUAAUAAUACUAACUGAGGAAACAAAACUUCAUUGCUUACCGAAAAAAGGACACUUAGAGAACAAAGAUUCUGAAAAUUGAUGUGUAAAGAAAACAAAGUAUUUAUAUAAAUAUGUGUAUUCAUAUAAAUGUAAUACAUAUGAAUCUGACUCUUUUAUAUGAGUAGUAUUUUAGCCUAACCAAAUAGUUGAUGAAUAAAAAUUUUUAUAGAAAAAUUCCAACUGAAAAAUGCAGGAGGCAAAUUAGACACAUACACGAAAGUAAAUGUAUAGUAUUAAAAAAAGCCCCAAAUAUUCGUUGCCUAGUUUUAACAAGUACCAACAUUUUUCUAAUCUUAUUUCAUCUAUUUGUCUACUUUUUGCCUGAAUAUUUUGAAGUAAAUUCCAGACAUCAUUUCAUUUUGACUGUAAAUUAAAAAUUAAAAACAAACAUUAAACGCUGCUAUUUCACUGUUUAUAACAUCUAGAAUUUACACGAAAGGUAAAAUAAAAUUAUAUCAGAUAAAAGAGACUUUUUACUAAUUAUCCCACCCUACUAUCCAGUCAACUCAAAGAAAAAGUGAGAAGUAUAAAAGAUAAAUCAGUUUUCAUGGGCAAGUUUAGGGAAGGGUACGGUGGCUGACCGCUGCUCUUGAAAUGGAUUUGGUACCUAAAGAAGCAAUAGAGACAGUCAGACAUUAUUCUAAUGGACCAAAGUUAACAGGACCAGGUACAUUUUAACUUAUUUAGCAAUAAAGAGGAGCCUUAUUUACCUUUCUAAGUUAAUCUGAGGCCUGAGAAUAUUCCUGCAAUCCCCACUACAAGGUAAUAAAUGAAGAAAUAAAAAAGAGGUCACAAAGGAGACAUCUUUAAGAUCAGAAAUUUUCCUUCAUAUAACCUAAUCUCUCCUUUCCCCUUAGAUGAGUUAUUUAAAACUUCUACAAGUAAAUCCACUCCCAGGUGAGCACAAACUGACUUCUAGACUCCCCUCUAUACCCAUGAAAUUGACUUUCUGUUAUCAUUUAAAUUCUUCAAAAUCCCAGGGGAAGUUUCAAAAACACCUGUGGUGUUACAGUCGCUGUGUUUAUCACUGUCGUUC